UAGAGGAAGUAAAAGUCGUAACAAGGUUUCCGUAGGUGAACCUGCGGAAGGAUCAUUAUUGAAUAAACCUGAUGUGACUGUUAGCUGGCUUUUCGAAGCAUGUGCUCGUCCGUCAUCUUUAAUCUCUCCACCUGUGCACAUUUUGUAGUCUUGGAUACCCCUCGAGGCAACUCGGAUUUUAGGAUCGCCGUGCUGUAAAAGUCAGCUUUCCUCUCAUUUCCAAGACUAUGUUUUUAUAUACACCAAAGUAUGUUUAAAGAAUGUCAUCAAUAGGAACUUGUUUCCUAUAAAAUUAUACAACUUUCAGCAACGGAUCUCUUGGCUCUCGCAUCGAUGAAGAACGCAGCGAAAUGCGAUAAGUAAUGUGAAUUGCAGAAUUCAGUGAAUCAUCGAAUCUUUGAACGCACCUUGCGCUCCUUGGUAUUCCGAGGAGCAUGCCUGUUUGAGUGUCAUUAAAUUCUCAACCUUCCAGCUUUUAUUAGCUUGGUUAGGCUUGGAUGUGGGGGUUGUGGGCUUCAUUAAUGAGGUCAGCUCUCCUUAAAUGCAUUAGCGGAACUUUUGUGGACCGUCUAUUGGUGUGAUAAUUAUCUACGCCGUGGAUGUGAAGCAGCUUUAUGAAGUUCAGCUUCUAAUCGUCCAUUGACUUGGACAAUUUUUGACAAUUUGACCUCAAAUCAGGUAGGACUACCCGCUGAACUUAAGCAUAUCAAU
RNAcentral lists this ribosomal RNA (711 nucleotides) under Laccaria pumila. Its description in RNAcentral is "eukaryotic LSU rRNA". The stretch from base 299 to 452 matches the Rfam family "5.8S ribosomal RNA". Lineage: Eukaryota; Fungi; Basidiomycota; Agaricomycetes; Agaricales; Hydnangiaceae. The record is from RNAcentral.